GGCCAAAUGUCUGCAAGCCUGAGCCCAAGUCCGCUGGAGGAAUUGGAAUCAUCGUUGUAUUUUUGUCUUAUUUCCUUGUGAUUCCUGGAGUCAGUGUUAAAGAGAAUCUAUCUAUGGAUACGAGGAGUAAAAAUCUUUACAUUACAUCUCCGUCUGAACGUGCAAGGUGCAAAUCACAGGAAUUUGUACAGGGCCAAUGGUGGAUGUUUUGAAGCAGGAGGGCACUCUACACUGGGAGAGGGAGAGAUUACAAAUAUCUGUAACCACACCUGCCUGUUGUGCUGCACUCAUCCUGAGUACCUGUCCUCGGAUGCCGUCCGGUCCUGCAUCCUCGCGACCGUCUGCUGGUUGGAAACACCUGCGUACCUCAGUCUCAGAGAUGACCAAGGUGCAGGUCACUUCAGCGGCUCUCCUCGGGGGCUCAGUGUUGGCGACAUCAAACCGAGCGUAAAAGUGAUUUAGCUCGUCUGGGAGAGAGGCAGCAAUGUUGACAGCACCAUUGCAGUUAGUUUUGAAGUUUGCGAUGAUGUGCAGACCUUGCCAUAAGCUGUGUGUGUAUGGUGGACGGUUGUGUCUAGUUUCUCCCUGUAUUGUUGUUUCACUGCCUUGAUGACUUUGUGUAGAUCGUAGCUGCAUUUCUGGAGUUCCUGUUGGUUACUGGUGGUGAACGCUCUGUUUCGCACAAUGCAAAUGGAACUGUGGAUCUAGGGUUUCCGGUUUGCAUAGACCUUGACCGAUUUUUGGGGGACAACAUCAUUGGUGCACUUCCGGGUGAAGCUUGUGACCGCUUCUAUGAAAUCAGAGACAUCCUCAUCACAAAAUACAUUCCAGCUGACAUCAUCCAAACAGUCCUGUAGUAUGGAGACUGAUUUGCUGGACCAACAGUGGAUGGUUUUAACUAUGGCUGCCUCUUGUUUCAGCUUCUGCCUGUUCACGGGCAAAACAGGCUGGGGAGCAGUCAGGCUUCCCAAGCGGUGGACGGAGGAGCAUCUUGUAAGUGUUGUGGAAGGGAGAGUAGCAGUGGUCGCGUAUGCCUUCUCCCCAUGUGCUCAUCUAGAUAUGUUGACAAAACUUCAGACAGACUUUAAACAGUGACGCCCAAUUAAAGUCUCUGGCAAAAAUGAAAGCAGCCUCCAGAUAUACAGUCUCCAGGGUGCUGAUGGUCUCGUACAGUUCUGUGAGAGCCAGGUCAGUAUCAGCCUGUGGUGGAAUAUGCACACCAGUGAUAAUAACAGGGUCCUGACCCUGUGUCAAAAAGAGUCCUGACUCCGUCCUAUGUCUAAGGAGGAGCCCUGGCUCAUUGUUUCUUGUCCUCAUCUCUACAGAGUAGGCCUAGCUGUCUGCCGCUACACUGAUUUGGGAACUGUC
Molecule: long non-coding RNA, 1368 nt
Organism: Hypanus sabinus (Atlantic stingray)
Lineage: Eukaryota; Metazoa; Chordata; Chondrichthyes; Myliobatiformes; Dasyatidae
Exons: 3
Source: RefSeq, a predicted model, not a curated record